Molecule: ribosomal RNA, 397 nt
Filed under: uncultured bacterium
Lineage: Bacteria
Description: partial 16S ribosomal RNA
Rfam family: Bacterial small subunit ribosomal RNA
Source: RNAcentral
AUACGUAGGGGGCGAGCGUUGUCCGGAAUGAUUGGGCGUAAAGGGCGCGUAGGCGGCCCGGUAAGUCUGGAGUGAAAGUCCUGUUUUUAAGAUGGGAAUUGCUUUGGAUACUGUCGGGCUUGAGUGCAGGAGAGGUAAGUGGAAUUCCCAGUGUAGCGGUGAAAUGCGUAGAGAUUGGGAGGAACACCAGUGGCGAAGGCGACUUACUGGACUGUAACUGACGCUGAGGCGCGAAAGUGUGGGGAGCAAACAGGAUUAGAUGCCCUGGUAGUCCACACUGUAACCGAUGAAUGCUAGGUGUAGGGGGUAUCGACCCCUUCUGUGCCGCAGUCAACACAAUAAGCAUUCCGCCUGGGGAGUACGGCCGCAAGGUUGAAACUCAAAUGAAUUGACGGGG